Molecule: non-coding RNA, 6517 nt
Organism: Heterocephalus glaber (naked mole-rat)
Lineage: Eukaryota; Metazoa; Chordata; Mammalia; Rodentia; Bathyergidae
Source: RefSeq, a predicted model, not a curated record
AUUUUCCUUUCUCCAGCAUUGAAAUUAGCCAUUUCUCUUGAGGAGAGCUAGUUCUUUUUGGUGGAUAAUGGUGUUUUUAGAAACCAAGGGCUAGGUACUUAAUGUACCCAGUUUCUAAGGUGUUGUUACUUCUAGGCCCUUUUCAUCUAUGUAUUUAUCUACCUACCUAUAAUUUAUCUGUAAUUGAGAGAGAGAGAGAGAGAGAUUAUCUAUCUAUCUAUCUAUAAUCACACCACAUAUAUUGCUUGCAUUUGCAUCUCUCUUCUGCCACAAUGAGAUCCCUGGCUUUCAACAUCAAAAUGUUUAUUUAUCUGCUCAAGCCUGUAAAAUACUUUCAGAAUUGAAGCACAAAGUAUUCUAUCAAUGACAAACAUUCCAAAGUUGGAAAUUCCUUUGCAAAUCUCUUUGCUUUUAGAAUAGGUCCCACCGAGGGCAUAUUGUCAAAGCUGUGUUUAGGACAUUGUAUCCUGAUGAAAUUAUUCUGUUGAGGCCUGAUAGUAAGGUGUGGGCAUCCCAGGGUCAAUCACUGGGAAGAAGAGUACUUUGACCAGGACCACAGGUGCAGAAGGGCAGCCUUAGCCAGGUCGGGGCUAGACACUCUGUAUUUUGGCCUUGCUUUCUAGGCCCUGCCUUCGAGGCAGCAAUUCCUGUGCUUUUGUGAGCAAGGAAAAAAAGAGCAGAGACAGCUGAGAGGCAUAUGGCCUGUAGACUCAGGCCACUCUGUAACCAGAGCAUCCAGCUGCAUUCUCUCUCAGGCUUGAUUUCCUGUUAGCUAUUCCAAGUCAUAGAAACCCUUAGCUUGACCUCUUUGGGUCUGAGGGAAUUGAGUCCACACUUGGGCUACAGUGCCAGGGAACAGGAGGGUCCCCUGAGGCCUUUACACUGGGAGAGAACACCCAGGGAAAAGCAGAUUUCAGAGUACACUGGCCUGGGCUAGAGAUCCUCUCCACUGCUAUCCAAACCCUUCCCAGGAGCUAGGCUGCAUUUUGCUGAGGGAAAUGAAGGAAAUGGGAGUUUCCUGACAUCCAUUCAUUGUUUAAUUAAGGAACAGAAUGGGCUUGGUCCUUAGGUGAAUAGUGACCCAGUGUCAGAAUCCAGGUUUCUCUGACACCUGACAACCACAUAGACAUUAGAGUGCAGCAGCACAGGCCCACUCGGUCACACAUGAGUAGCAAACCCAUUAAUGAUGAUUUUAUGUGUUGUUCUACGGUGAAAGGCAGUAAUUUAUGACAGACUCAGAUCCUCUGUGUAAAAAGCGCCGUCAUACACCAUUGUUCAAAAUGAAAACUCUAUACACAGCAACCUGACAAUAGUUGUCUGGCUUGCAUACUUCUGUGACAGGGAGCCCCCUCCCUCUGGCUCUUGGUGAAAUACUGCAAACUUCUUUAACAGAACCCAAACCUUCUCCUGGACCUCUACCCAUUGCUGUCUGUCCUCCCUCAGAGGCUUCCCAGAAAACCCCCAAGCUCUCAGAGUUAGGAGGGAAGAUCUGCCGAGAAGGGACAUAGCACCCAUGUUUUCCUCCUUGAAAUGAUCCCUGUCCUGCAGCCUGCAGAGUUUACCACUGAUCUGUAGCCCUAGAAUCGAGCUCAGUUCUCAAGUAUCAGCAACCUGCCUGCCCCUGCUCCAGGUCUCCUUAGCCCUCAAAAUGUGUCUUCCACCAGUGACACAUAAGUUACACGUGGCUUAACCCACUGGGUAGUUUUUACAGAACUGCUGAGACCUCUGUCCUUCUCCUCUGUGGCCAGCAUUCCUGCCUGGUUCCCCUUUACCCCCUCCUCUGCCGUCCCAUCUUCAUUGAAUCCUGAACCCCUAAUUCUGACAUCUGGCCUUUUAGCGCCCCCAGAGUGGGCAGCGCUGCUUCCAACACAUCUCCCCGCGGAAUAAACCUCCAGAUCUCCUGGUCAUUCUCAUUGUCCGCACACAGCCCCAUCUCCGUGCCGCAGGACCUGGGUCACCAAGGUAGGAGUUAGGGGUAAUUUAGUGGUGAAGUUUCCUUCCUUGUGAGGCUGGGGGAUGGGGAGUCCGUGAAUACAACCAAGUGACUCUUGUACUGAAUCCCAAGACAAAGGGAGGGGACCACGCCUCUUCUCUGAGUCCUGCGGAUCCUGCCUGGGACUAGGGUUCACUGUGGUCUGGCAGUCACACCUCUGGGGAAGGCGGCCACCUGAGGGCGGGGCUGAGGAAUCACCGUCAGAACGCUUGUGUGGCGUCAUUGUCGUGCACCAAAUCACCGCUAGAGGGCACCAGAGAACCACCGGGCGGCUCCAACCCGCGAUGGGGACACAAACUACUGUGGUUCAGUAGGGCUGGCAAUGGUGAGGCGGUGGUGACGUUCGAUGCUACUCUGGAAGGCACUCGCUGGCCUUCAAAGAGGCCAGAUUUCUAAGCACCGUGGUGGACUCACCCCACAGGAGAGCCCAGGCCACAACUAGAACUGAACACAGGCUGACCUAGUAUGGGCUGGGGGUGCAGCGCAGGGCCAGCGUGGACAGGGUACCAACCCCUGCAGAUGCCAUGCUGGGAUCUUGCAUCUGGGCCUGAGCCUGGGUUUCAGGCCCACUUCUCUGACCUGUCGCAAUGACUGCAUUUCCACAAUUUUAAGAAUGCUUUUCUUGGCCAACAUGGAUGACUCGCCUAUAAAGACUUCCAACAGGCCUUUUCUCUUGUUUUUCUUCCUUGUUUCUCACGUGAGCAGUUACCUAAACAAUCACUGAUUUGGUCAUUCAAUGCAUAACUAUUAAGCACUACUAUUUUCCAGCUACUGUUGUGGGCUCAGGGAUGCAGCAUCUCCCACUUUAGUAAGACCAGAAGAGUUUCCAUGAGAAGUGGGCUCAGAGGGAGAGUGGGGUGGCCUCAACCAAUAACAGCAGCCGUAAGGACGUGGAGGUUUGCUUGGCCAUAAGCAACAACGUGCUGGUUGCCAGGGUGAGGGUUCUACUCACAUCAUCUUGUUGAAGUCUCCCAAGAAUCCAACGAUUGGAAGCAGCCCCCACCCCACCCCACUACUUCUCAAGGAGUGAUUUUACAGAUAAGAAAACUGAGGCACAGAGAGGUUAUAUGACUUGCCCAGGAUCUCCAGGUGAUGUUGUGCCCAGCAGAGGCAGUGCCUGUCUGUGAUGGCAGGAGGGCGGAAGUGCUCACACCUGGCUCCUGGUCCGGCUGCUCAGUGGGAGGCACACAGAAGCUGCCUGGGAAAGCCUUGCUCAUCUGUGCAGAGAGAGGAGAGCAGCUGGCUUGCGAGUCCCUCUGCAGGAUACAGUAUUCACUAUGUAGGUCAGUGGACCCUGCAAAUGUCUUGCAUUGUCCGGCUGCACAAAGUCCUGGCGGGAGGUGGAGGUGUUGAGGCCUGAAAGGUCAAAGACUUUGGUCCUGCUAUGGACUUGCUGGCUGACCUUGGCCAAGUCCUUUCCCAGACCUCAAUUUCCCAUUUGCAAAGUGAACCUGGAUGUUGACUUACAGUGUGGUUAAUAUGAGCCUGGAUCAUUAAGGGAGGACUCUAUUUGUCCUAAAUUUCUUUAUUCAAAGAUGUAUUUUGCAUGUGUGUGCACUGUGCUGGAUGCUGGGCACAGGGUGUAGAAGACCAAUGUGGAUGCUUGCUUCCUUGGAGCUAGAUUCUGGUAGACACAGAUGUUUGAUGAACCACACAGAAUAGCUAUGAAGACCAGUGGUGACAAGUGUUCCCAAGGAGAACACCAAGGUCCUUCGAGAAGUACUGAUCAGCUAGUCUGGGAAGGCUUUCCAAAGUGGUGAUAUUAGUUGGAGACCUGAAGGAUGUGUAAACCUAGGGAAGAUCUUCCUGGUAUGGGAAGGACUGAAAUGGCAAAGACUUCAGUAUAUUUUAGAAACCAAAAGGAGCUAGUGUGGCCAGGGUGUCAUAAUUUAGGGGCAGCAGGGGGUCUUACUGGGUGACAUGGAUACAGACAACAGGGGAGCUUGGGGGGAAUGUAAAUAUAGGACCAUGGGUCUGGGGGUGGGGAGUGUCCCAGGAAGCUGCACUUUUAAGCAGCAACCAGGAGAUGUGGUGCUGCUGGCCCAGGGACCACUCUUUUGGCAGCAAAGCCUUUAAAAGAUUUUAAACACUGGGCAGGGUAGUGCAUGCCUAUAAUGCCCACACUCCGGGAAGCUCAGGCAGGAGGAUUAUGAGUUUAAGCACAACAGGAGCAAUUCAGCAACAUAGCAUGACUCUGUCUCAACAAUGACAACAACAGGCUGGGGCUGGAGCUCAGUGCAAAGGCCCUGGGUUCAAUCUCAGUAUGGGGGGUGUUAAACAAUGGGGUGACAUUGGUUCUUCAGAUCAGAAGUUCUUUGGUUAAGAAUGAGGAUUCCCUUUGUCCUCUGGCAUGGAGAGAGUAAUGGUUAAGCUGUGACACAGCUACUCUGUGGGUUCUGACUCUGGACCAGACAGAGGCACCCUGUGCUUCUGUAUGGUCUAUGUGGGGCUAGCUUGGCAGUGGGGCUGGGGGAUUCAGGUCCAGGCAAGGAAAGUGAGGCGUCCAGAGGGCUCCACACACCUCACCCAAUUAUGGGGCUGUUGGUGGGGUUCACCAAACUCUCCUCUCCUGGUGCUGUGGGUGGCUCAGGUCCCCGGGUCUGGCCGUGGCGCUUUUGUAGAAAGGGUCUUCAACCUUCUGACCAGCUCCCAGGGCUGCCUCACAGAAUUUCCUCCCUGGCCAUUCUUGCCUCUUUUUAAAAUAUAAGUGAAUUAUAAAGUCAAUUCAAAAAAUAUGUGAUAAAAGUGGUAGGUGUUUUUUUGAGAGAGAAAGUGAGUGAGCGAGAGAGAGUGUUGGGAGGAUAUUUGACUUUUCUGAGCUGUGUUUCAGCACCUCCACCUGCUUCUUUCUCUGGGGAGCAGGUGAGUCGGCGCUGCCUCUUUUGGGGGAGAUGGAGGAGCCCCCCAGGGAAGCCUGGAGAGGGAGGGGAAAGGACAUGAGAUUCCGACCCCAUGCCCAUCACUCCCCAGCUGUGUGAUUUUGAACACAUCUCUGGGCCUCUCUGAGCUGUGACUUCCUCAUCUACAACCUUCCAGGGCUGGCAAGGCAAUCAAGGGAGGCAACCGGUGUGUUUACAGCCUGUAGAGGCUGAAAGCCCGAGCUUGAUGUGUCAACCAUCAUUAUCUCCAACUGCAGAGGGACACGGCGAGCUGGCGCUGGAGGAAGCUUCCAGAUCCUGCAGGGGCUGGACUGCUUAUCUCAACAGCAGCAGCCCCACAUCUCUGAAGUAGCAAAGCUAGAAGCUGUCAUUUCAAGGUUACUCCUCCAAAAUUGCCCUGACUUCUCCCGUGGUUAUCUCAGCAUUCACUGAUGUCAUCACACGUGGGCCUGUCCUGAGCUGGGCAGCUGUCAGUGAUGUACUCUCUGUCAUUAGAGAUGGGAGUGAAGGCAACCACGAUGAUCAUCUGGUUCUGGAGUCAGAUCUGAAUUUGACAUGAACUAAUUGUGUGAUCUUGGACAAAUCCUCUGACUCCACUGAGCCAGAUUCCUUGUCUAUAAAAUGGAGAAAUACCCAUAUAAGCCACCUUUGGUGACCAGAGCCUGGGUUACAACAACUGUUCAGAAGAAGCCAGCUAAAUGACAGAGAUGACAUUUCUAAAUGUCACCUCCCACUGUUGUUGAGAGAAGAGAUUAAAAAACUACAGAUUUUGCUCACUGCCUGUUUUUGUAAAUAAAGAUGUAUGGAAACACAGCCACACCCAUUCAUUUACAUAUUUAUCCAUAGGUGGUGUCAUUCGAUAAAGCAGACCUGAGUAGCUGCAAAAGAGAGAGUAGAUCCUGCAAAAUUGCACGUAUUUACUACCUGGCUCUUUAUAGAAGAAACUUGACUGACCUCUUGUUUAGAAAAAAGUGCAUUUCUCUAGUUCUUUAAAAAACUUCAGGUAUUGGACUCGUCCAGGCUGGCCUUCUUGUAGGGCCAGCUCACUACAGCCUUCAGUGUGAAUAGUGCCCCUGGGUAUAUCACCCAUUGCCCUGCCCUCCUGCCAUUACUUGGGGAGCUGAUUCUUCAAGGUGGCAGGAGAAGCUCUCCUCUGGCCUUUCCUUAGGCUCAGCCCAGAUGAGGUUCUGUGUCACAGUCUGUGCUAGUACCAAGUUCUAUUUGUCCUCAAAAACAUCUGCCCCCAGAACAGAAGGUCUCCUCUCUGAGUUACUACUUCAUCGCAACAGUUCAAUUUGAUCCUAGUGAGAGGCAGAAUAAAGACUAUAAUAAGCUUCUUAUUUAAGAUUUUAUGAUUGGUCUUUAGAAAAAAUAGUAAUGAGGCAUAAAAAUGUUGAAUUUGGGGAGAAUUAACUUGUCAUGUAUCAAUAUUUUCUUUAAUAGGUUUCUUUCCUUCUAAUGUCUUUAAAAAUGUGGCCAUAUGGGGUGAUACUUGUGUAUAUGUGUUUGGGGAGGGCCUGCCACUGUAAGUGGAGUGCAAAGGGGUGGAGACUAAGGAACAAGAGAAAAGAUAAGAAGACUGUAAUAAAAAGGUAUAGGAUUGCAUUUAUAAAUUUAUGUCAAACUAACAUAUGUAUAAGUAAAA